Molecule: ribosomal RNA, 526 nt
Filed under: uncultured bacterium
Lineage: Bacteria
Description: partial 16S ribosomal RNA
Rfam family: Bacterial small subunit ribosomal RNA
Source: RNAcentral
GACGAACGCUGGCGGCGUGCCUAAUACAUGCAAGUCGAGCGCAGGAAACCGUUCCGAACCCUCCGGGGGGACGAACGGUGGAAUGAGCGGCGGACGGGUGAGUAACACGUAAAGAACCUGCCCAUAGGUCUGGGAUAACCACGAGAAAUCGGGGCUAAUACCGGAUGUGUCAUCGGACCGCAUGGUCCGCUGAUGAAAGGCGCUUCGGCGUCGCACAUGGAUGGCUUUGCGGUGCAUUAGCUAGUUGGUGGGGUAAUGGCCCACCAAGGCGACGAUGCAUAGCCGACCUGAGAGGGUGAUCGGCCACACUGGGACUGAGACACGGCCCAGACUCCUACGGGAGGCAGCAGUAGGGAAUCUUCCACAAUGGACGAAAGUCUGAUGGAGCAACGCCGCGUGAACGAUGAAGGCUUUCGGGUCGUAAAGUUCUGUUAUAAGGGAAGAACAAGUGCCGCAGGCAAUGGCGGCACCUUGACGGUACCUUGCGAGAAAGCCACGGCUAACUACGUGCCAGCAGCCGCCGUAA